This 307-nucleotide ribosomal RNA is filed under the name uncultured bacterium. Its description in RNAcentral is "bacterial SSU rRNA". It matches the Rfam family "Bacterial small subunit ribosomal RNA", at positions 28 to 334 of the family's 1533-position model. The record is from RNAcentral.
GACGAACGCUGGCGGCGUGCUUAACACAUGCAAGUCGAACGGAAAGGCCCUGCUUUUGUGGGGUGCUCGAGUGGCGAACGGGUGAGUAACACGUGAGUAACCUGCCCUUGACUUUGGGAUAACUUCAGGAAACUGGGGCUAAUACCGGAUAGGAGCUCCUGCUGCAUGGUGGGGGUUGGAAAGUUUCGGCGGUUGGGAUGGACUCGCGGCUUAUCAGCUUGUUGGUGGGGUAGUGGCUUACCAAGGCUUUGACGGGUAGCCGGCCUGAGAGGGUGACCGGCCACAUUGGGACUGAGAUACGGCCCAG